Molecule: unclassified non-coding RNA, 402 nt
Filed under: soil metagenome
Description: partial contains 5.8S ribosomal RNA, internal transcribed spacer 2, and large subunit ribosomal RNA
Rfam family: 5.8S ribosomal RNA (bases 1-121)
Source: RNAcentral
GAUGAAGAACGCAGCGAAAUGCGAUAAGUAAUGUGAAUUGCAGAAUUCAGUGAAUCAUCGAAUCUUUGAACGCACCUUGCGCCCUUUGGCUAUUCUGAAGGGCAUGCCUGUUUGAGUAUCGUGAACACCUCAACUCUCAUGGUCUGCCAUGAUGAGCUUGGACUUUGGGGGUCUUGCUGGCCUACUGUCAGCUCCUCUCAAAUGAAUCAGCUUACCAGUGUUUGGUGGCACCACAGGUGUGAUAACUAUCUACGCGUGUGGUUUUCUGCCAGGUAACCUCCAGUGAUGGAGGUUCGCUGGAGCUCACAAAUGUCUCUCCUCAGCGAGGACAGCUUUUUGAACGUUUGAUCUCAAAUCAGGUAGGACUACCCGCUGAACUUAAGCAUAUCAAUAAGCGGAGGA